Molecule: non-coding RNA, 851 nt
Organism: Monodelphis domestica (gray short-tailed opossum)
Lineage: Eukaryota; Metazoa; Chordata; Mammalia; Didelphimorphia; Didelphidae
Source: RefSeq, a predicted model, not a curated record
GCGUAACCGCUCCUGAGUUCUUCCUUAAUCGAGUGCGCGCGCGCGCCUGGGUUCCGCCUCCUCCACGAGUGAGAGAGCGCGCAUAGGUUUUCUAUUCGUUCCCCUCUCCCCUCCCCCCCCCUGCCUUUACGAUCGUAAGCGAGCUUGAGUUAGUGGGCGGGGCCGGAUAACUCGUCACGUGGUCUUUCCGUGUCUAUGGAGUCUGUACGGCUGUUCUGCGACUCUACCGUUCCCCCUGAGUGAAGUAGUUGGUGGUUGUAGUGCGCGCCUUACCUCGUUCUACAGCCCUGGCGGGUAUUCCAGCGCCCUAGGUAGUGGCUUGCUUGGUCCACUCUCUGUAAGCUGCGUUAAAUGUUAGAAUACUGUCCUCUCUUACUGCUCCUGAGGCCCACGAAAAUUGGCCAUCGGUUCUCGGAAAUGUUGCAAACCCAUACGGGAAGGACGUUGUCUUUUUUUUUUCCUUUUUCUUCUACCGGAGUUGGGGAGAAAAGAUGCAAAAAAGAGGAGAAAAUGUGCAAAAAGCUAUCAGGUUCUACGAUUUGUCUCGUUCUCCUGAACAGUCUCGCAAUGCAAGAAAAGAAGGUAUUCAAGAUGAAAUUUAAGGAAAAAUCCUCUUCAGCUGACUUCAUAGCCAUUGGAACAAAUUGUUCUCAUCUGUCCAGUCCACCAAGGGAAGAACUCACAGGCUUGGGGCAGACAUCCUGCCAGCUUGCCAACAGUUUUGAGGCCUGUUGGUUACCCUCAACUGGAUUUAGCCCAUCUGCCCAGAAAGUUUUGCCAGGAUGUGGCCACUGUAUACUAGAGCUUCUUGGAGCUGCUGGUCAGAGCUGGGUGAAAGGUAGACACCAAAG